Molecule: ribosomal RNA, 254 nt
Filed under: uncultured bacterium
Lineage: Bacteria
Description: partial 16S ribosomal RNA
Rfam family: Bacterial small subunit ribosomal RNA
Source: RNAcentral
UACGUAGGGUGCGAGCGUUGUCCGGAAUUAUUGGGCGUAAAGAGCUCGUAGGCGGUCUGUCGCGUCGGUCGUGAAAACUUGGGGCUUAACCCUGAGCUUGCGGUCGAUACGGGCAUGACUGGAGUUCGGCAGGGGAGACUGGAAUUCCUGGUGUAGCGGUGAAAUGCGCAGAUAUCAGGAAGAACACCUAUGGCGAAGGCAGCACUCUGGGACGGUACUGACGCUGAGACGCGAAAGCGUGGGGAGCGAACAGG